GACGAACGCUGGCGGCGCGCCUAACACAUGCAAGUCGAACGAGCGAGAGAGAGCUUGCUUUCUCGAGCGAGUGGCGAACGGGUGAGUAACGCGUGAGGAACCUGCAUCAAAGAGGGGGACAACAGUUGGAAACGACUGCUAAUACCGCAUAAGCCCACAGCUCGGCAUCGAGCAGAGGGAAAAGGAGCAAUCCGCUUUGAGAUGGCCUCGCGUCCGAUUAGCUAGUUGGUGAGGUAAUGGCCCACCAAGGCGACGAUCGGUAGCCGGACUGAGAGGUUGAACGGCCACAUUGGGACUGAGACACGGCCCAGACUCCUACGGGAGGCAGCAGUGGGGAAUAUUGCACAAUGGGGGAAACCCUGAUGCAGCGACGCCGCGUGGAGGAAGAAGGUCUUCGGAUUGUAAACUCCUGUUGUUGAGGAAGAUAAUAACGGUACUCAACAAGGAAGUGACGGCUAACUACGUGCCAGCAGCCGCGGUAAAACGUAGGUCACAAGCGUUGUCCGGAAUUACUGGGUGUAAAGGGAGCGCAGGCGGGAAGGCAAGUUGGAAGUGAAAUCCAUGGGCUCAACCCAUGAACUGCUUUCAAAACUGUUUUUCUUGAGUAGUGCAGAGGUAGGCGGAAUUCCCGGUGUAGCGGUGGAAUGCGUAGAUAUCGGGAGGAACACCAGUGGCGAAGGCGGCCUACUGGGCACCAACUGACGCUGAGGCUCGAAAGUGUGGGUAGCAAACAGGAUUAGAUACCCUGGUAGUCCACACUGUAAACGAUGAUUACUAGGUGUUGGAGGAUUGACCCCUUCAGUGCCGCAGUUAACACAAUAAGUAAUCCACCUGGGGAGUACGACCGCAAGGUUGAAACUCAAAGGAAUUGACGGGGGCCCGCACAAGCAGUGGAGUAUGUGGUUUAAUUCGACGCAACGCGAAGAACCUUACCAAGUCUUGACAUCCUGCGACGGUGCUGGAAACAGUACUUUCCUUCGGGACGCAGAGACAGGUGGUGCAUGGUUGUCGUCAGCUCGUGUCGUGAGAUGUUGGGUUAAGUCCCGCAACGAGCGCAACCCUUAUGGUCAGUUACUACGCAAGAGGACUUUGGCCAGACUGCCGUUGACAAAACGGAGGAAGGUGGGGAUGACGUCAAAUCAUCAUGCCCUUUAUGACUUGGGCUACACACGUACUACAAUGGCGUUAAACAAAGAGAAGCAAGACCGCGAGGUGGAGCAAAACUCAGAAACAACGUCCCAGUUCGGACUGCAGGCUGCAACUCGCCUGCACGAAGUCGGAAUUGCUAGUAAUCGCAGAUCAGCAUGCUGCGGUGAAUACGUUCCCGGGCCU
RNAcentral lists this ribosomal RNA (1332 nucleotides) under uncultured bacterium. Its description in RNAcentral is "bacterial SSU rRNA". It matches the Rfam family "Bacterial small subunit ribosomal RNA", at positions 28 to 1381 of the family's 1533-position model. The record is from RNAcentral.